GCGAGUGAAGAGGGAAGAGCCCAAGAUUGAAAGCUGGCGUCUUCGGCGUCCGCAUUGUAAUCUCAAGAAGUGUUUUCCGCUUCGGACCAUGCCUAAGUCCCUUGGAAAAGGGCAUCAUAGAGGGUGAUAAUCCCGUACAUGGCAUGGAGCGCCCGAAGCUUUGUGAUACGCUUUCUAAGAGUCGAGUUGUUUGGGAAUGCAGCUCAAAAUGGGUGGUAAAUGCCAUCUAAGGCUAAAUAUUGGGGAGAGACCGAUAGCGAACAAGUACAGUGAUGGAAAGAUGAAAAGAACUUUGAAAAGAGAGUUAAACAGUACGUGAAAUUGCCAAAAGGGAAGGGUAGGAGGUCAGAGAUGCGGCCUGGGAUUCAGCCUUGCUUUUGCUUGGUGUUUUUCCCAGAUUGCAGGCCAACGUCGGUUUUGGGCACUGGAGAAGGGUAGGAGGAACGUGGCACCUCUCGGGGUGUGUUAUAGCCUCCUACUGGAUACAGCGACCGAGACCGAGGACAGCAGCGUACUCGCAAGAGCGGGCCUUCGGGCACCUUUACGCUUAGGGCGUUGGCAUAAUGGCCCUCUACCACCCGUCU
Molecule: ribosomal RNA, 584 nt
Filed under: Dirkmeia churashimaensis
Lineage: Eukaryota; Fungi; Basidiomycota; Ustilaginomycetes; Ustilaginales; Ustilaginaceae
Description: LSU rRNA
Rfam family: Eukaryotic large subunit ribosomal RNA
Source: RNAcentral